GCGGGAAUAGCUCAGUUGGUAGAGCACAACUCUUCCAAGGUUGGGGUCGCGGGUUCGAGUCUCGUUUCCCGCU
RNAcentral lists this transfer RNA (73 nucleotides) under Bacteroidota bacterium. RNAcentral's name for it is "tRNA-Gly". It matches the Rfam family "tRNA". From Rfam's summary of the family: Transfer RNA (tRNA) molecules are approximately 80 nucleotides in length. The record is from RNAcentral. Lineage: Bacteria; Pseudomonadati; Bacteroidota.